RNAcentral lists this long non-coding RNA (532 nucleotides) under Brassica napus (rape). Its description in RNAcentral is "long non-coding RNA (BNAP_LNC015053)". The record is from RNAcentral. Lineage: Eukaryota; Viridiplantae; Streptophyta; Magnoliopsida; Brassicales; Brassicaceae.
ACCCAUACGCUCUAAAUGGCCAUCGAACGCCUUUGGUAGUAAAGCUUUAGUUUGCGGAUCUGCUAUCUUUAUAUCCUUUCUUAUGUGCUCAAAUGACACUCUAUGUUUCUGAACUUCUUCUUCUUUAAUAGAUAAGUACUCUAACUUAAUGUGCUUAGCACCCUUCUAAUACUUGUCAUCCUUUCAAAAGAAGACAGCUGCGAAUUUAUCACCAUAAUCUCUCAGCGGUUUGGAGUUAGUGUCGACAAUCCAAAGCCCUGAGAUAAAUUUCCGCAGGCUCCAUACAUGAAUUGUGGCUUCAAAGCACACCACAAUUCAACCUUAAUAGUGGAAGUAGCAAUGACAAACUACUUUCCACUUUCCUUUAAAUUGUUCCCACAAAUAAUAGAAACAAUACCUAAACAUUGAUUUUUACCAUCAACGCAUCCGGCUUUAUUUGAAUCUGAAAAUCCUAUGACCUUUAAUUGAUUGGAUCUCUUUUAUGUAAGCAUGUUCUCGUUGGUGCCUUGCAAGUACCAGAGGACCUUUCUUU